UCAGGACCUGGCCAGGGUAUCCAGACGGGACCCAAACUGGGUGCCCCUUGCCUCCAGUGCGCAGCAGUCAUCUCCAGUUCAGAUGGAGGAAGACUCCGACAACCCACAGGAAUAGGCAGCUGAGGUCACGGCGGCAAGUGUCAUUGAAACUGGGAAAGUACUUGGAAACCUGGAUCUCUCAGGUUUGCCCCCUGAUAUCCCAAGAGAAUUUGGUAGCAAAAGAAAACACUGGAGAUACAAUGCUGAGUGAAGAAAAAGUAGAACUGCAAAGACUAGCCCCUCAGAGCACGUGGUGUUCCCACGCUCUGGGAUCUGGGCCCCUUUUUGGUAGCAGAGUCGCAUGGCAGAGGGCAGGACAAUUGCUGGUGGCUUAUAGCAGGACCUAGUGUGCAUGCUGGAGGUCUCAGGUGCAACCAGAUUGGAGCUGGGAGAGCCUGAAGAGAAGUGGAACCACCCAGCCAAGCGCAGAAGGAGUUAGCACUUGUACAGAUAACAGAUCUUGCACAAACAGAUGGGAACCAAAAACAAAUGAAGAGGAUUGAAGAUGAUCCCACAUUUUAAAAGUCCUUGUCUGCUGGAGGUGGCAUUACCUGUGACCUCGCUUCUCUUCUUCACACAUGGCUGUUGUAGCAGGUACAUUGUAAAGAAGCAUGAUUAUUUCUAGAAAUGCAAAAACAGGUGGCAAAAUUUUGAAACAUGUCAGAAUUUCAAAGAAUAUCUAAUGAUGUUUUUAAAAAGCAUUCAAGCUACAAGGUAGGAAAACUUGUUUUAAUGCUCAAAGUAGGAGGGACUUUGAACAUUGUUUUUUAAAAGUAUGUAUGUGCAAAGUGAAGAGAGAGGAAUGCAUAGCAAAGACAUUUUUAUGUGUUUAUUUCUUCUGACCGAAGUAACAUUUGUUUUCUACUUUAUAAUUUCUCAAAAUUUGAAUGGAUUGCGAGCAGCAGAUAAAACUUUUGUAAUUUCUUGGAAUAGAAAGUUCUUCUAGAGUAAAAUGUGAAAAUAUUUGCAAGCACUCAAAAAUACAUAUUGAUAUGCAAGCAUGAAUACGGUAUAAGGUAGUACUGAAGACUGUGCAAAACUAUACCCAAUGUAUCCAGUUGUGUUUAAAGAGCAGCAGACCUGUGUGUGUAAACAUAUAUAUACAUAAUACAUAUAUUAUAUAUGUGUAGACGUAUUUAGAAGCUACAUAUUUACAAUAAUGCUCAGUGUCACAGUGAGUAUGCUUUUCAUCUUGAAAUUCUCAGUGUUGGCAUAUUUAUAUCCAUAUUUACAUUCACAUAAAAGGAGACGUUAAUGAAAUAUAGCUGCAUGUAAAGGGUAAGAACGCGUCCACCUAAGAGUUUUCUUAGGAUACACAUCUGGGUGCCUGAAUUUGAGAGAUACCAAUUUCAGCCUUCAUUUAUUUGAAUUUAUAUAUUGAAUUCUGUUUUCUUUCUUUACUGUUUUUAAAGAAAAUUUUAAGAUAAAAAUUUGGUAUAAGUUUUGCGAAGUAUAAAAUAUGAAACCCUGAUAUUCUUGGGCAUGAGUAUUUAGUGUCUGUUCCAAUAUUAGUUUUAAAGUAUAUGCAUAUAUAAUCAUAAUAAUAAGGUAAGGCAAGUCUCGCAAUCAUGAUUACUGAAUGGUGGCAUAGGUAUUUUAUGUCCUGUGUAUGAAUUUUUAAAGAGAUUAAGUGAUAAACUAAUUAAUAUUCUGUAAUUAAUUGGUCAGGCAGGUAGUUCUGAACAAAUGUUUGAUUGUCUGAAAUCCAGGUCUUGCAAAUAUUUUAUGAUAAUUUCAAACUACUCAAGAAUCAGAAGUGGAAACUUUGAAUCUAAAACAUGAUGCAUAAAAUAAAUCCAAUUUAAAUAUAAGUUUAUCAUAGUUUCUUACUGUAAAUGUAGAACUAUGUGGG
Non-coding RNA from Manis javanica (Malayan pangolin), 1891 nucleotides. Lineage: Eukaryota; Metazoa; Chordata; Mammalia; Pholidota; Manidae. The record is from RefSeq and is a predicted model, not a curated record.